RNAcentral lists this transfer RNA (73 nucleotides) under Stegodyphus mimosarum. It matches the Rfam family "tRNA". From Rfam's summary of the family: Transfer RNA (tRNA) molecules are approximately 80 nucleotides in length. Their secondary structure includes four short double-helical elements and three loops (D, anti-codon, and T loops). Further hydrogen bonds mediate the characteristic L-shaped molecular structure. tRNAs have two regions of fundamental functional importance: the anti-codon, which is responsible for specific mRNA codon recognition, and the 3' end, to which the tRNAs corresponding amino acid is attached (by aminoacyl-tRNA synthetases). tRNAs cope with the degeneracy of the genetic code in two manners: having more than one tRNA (with a specific anti-codon) for a particular amino acid; and 'wobble' base-pairing, i.e. permitting non-standard base-pairing at the 3rd anti-codon position. The record is from Rfam by way of RNAcentral. Lineage: Eukaryota; Metazoa; Arthropoda; Arachnida; Araneae; Eresidae.
GCUUUCGUAGUGUAACGGUUAGUACACUCGGCGCUUAUUCGAAAGGUCCAGGGUUCGAGUCCCGGUGAGUGCA